Molecule: RNase P RNA, 347 nt
Filed under: Thalassiosira antarctica
Lineage: Eukaryota; Bacillariophyta; Thalassiosirophyceae; Thalassiosirales; Thalassiosiraceae
Description: partial Bacterial RNase P class A
Rfam family: Bacterial RNase P class A
About the family: Ribonuclease P (RNase P) is a ubiquitous endoribonuclease, found in archaea, bacteria and eukarya as well as chloroplasts and mitochondria. Its best characterised activity is the generation of mature 5'-ends of tRNAs by cleaving the 5'-leader elements of precursor-tRNAs.
Source: RNAcentral
UAUUGGAAAGGAAAGUCCGGGCAACGAAGAGCAUCGUACUUCCUAACGGGAAGCCACUGAUGGAGACGUCAUCGGAGAAAGUGCAACAGAAAACAAACCGUCCCGACUUGUCGGGAUAAGGGUGAAAUGGUGAGGUAAGAGCUCACCGCUCUGAUAGUGAUAUUAGAGGCAUGGUAAACCUUACGAGUUGAAAGAUCAAAUAGGUCCUGCAAGAAGUGGCUCGCUUCGAUCUGAUUUAUAUCAGAAUGUAGGAUGGGUAGAUUGAUAGACUUCGCUAGCAAUAUCGAAGCCAGAUAAAUGAUAAGGGCCCCGAUAACAAUCGGGGCACAGAACCCGGCUUAUAGGCC